Molecule: ribosomal RNA, 255 nt
Filed under: uncultured bacterium
Lineage: Bacteria
Description: partial 16S ribosomal RNA
Rfam family: Bacterial small subunit ribosomal RNA
Source: RNAcentral
UACGUAGGGGGCGAGCGUUGUCCGGAAUCAUUGGGCGUAAAGCGCGUGUAGGCGGUUCAGUAAGUCUGCUGUGAAAGUCCAGAGCUCAACCCUGGGAUGCCGGUGGAUACUGCUGAACUAGAGUGCGGAAGAGGCGAGUGGAAUUCCCGGUGUAGCGGUGAAAUGCGCAGAUAUCGGGGAGGAACACCAAUUGCGAAGGCAGCUCGCUGGGACGUUACUGACGCUGAGACGCGAAAGCGUGGGGAGCAAACAGGG